UGUGAUAAAACGCAGACCCAGAGAGCCUU
Molecule: non-coding RNA, 29 nt
Filed under: Mus musculus (house mouse)
Lineage: Eukaryota; Metazoa; Chordata; Mammalia; Rodentia; Muridae
Source: RNAcentral